Long non-coding RNA from Oreochromis aureus, 877 nucleotides. NCBI's taxonomy places the organism in Eukaryota, Metazoa, Chordata, Actinopteri, Cichliformes, Cichlidae. The record is from Ensembl.
CACUCCACUGUCAACUGUCUGCAUCAGUUUGCAGAUCACUUUCUGAUCUGCUGGGUUGCUUUUACCCUCCUGGUGGGAGAGGUGCAAAUUAAAGCUAACAACAACCAGCUGCGCCCGCGCACUCAGUCUCAGCAACCACGAGUGAAGACCAACUUUAUUCUGGUGACAUUUACUUUCUUUUCACUGCUUAUUCUGAAAUGUGAAACCCUGGCUGUUUCAAAACUAUUUCGGGACACUGUGAAAAUCAAAAACGCCACCUUGAUUUGCUGUGAGGAGUUCAUGUCUCUCUAUAUAUCAAAGAUCAAAUUCACAGAUCUUUUUGAUGGCCAUGUACGUUUAUGCUGAGCGUGGCCAGCCCGUGUAUGUGGAACUGUUUGCAGUCAAACAUGAGAACAGGGACUUGGUUCUGCUGCUGGAGGACAGCUGGGCUACACUGACUGAGGACUCAGAUGGCCCACAAAGAUGGAAACUGCUGCUGGUGACAGCCACAAAACAGUUAUGCUGCAAGUUUCCAGUAGCCUACAGAACUAGGAUGAUCCUCCAUUUACAACUGGUGUAUUUCCACUGCAAUGUAGAGAUCUGUAAGGGGCCAGAGUGCCUGCAGCCUUGCAGUAGUUGGAAAUCGACUUUUAGACCGUUCAUCUUUUGUCUUAUAAAUCUAAAAAUAACACUGAUCUCACACGUUAACAUGUAACACUGUAAACAAAAGAUUGUUUUUCUUUGUUUUGGGGGAGUGCAUAAAUCAGGAAGACCUCCUGGAUCACUAUAUGACAAUCAAAUCAACCAAGGACUGUACAGUUUGUAAUGAAUAUUAAAUUGUACCUCCCAAAAGACGUUUUCCUUAUAAUAUUUAAUCACAUAUUUAAUUCUUCUCCAA